This 225-nucleotide ribosomal RNA is filed under the name uncultured bacterium. RNAcentral describes it as "partial 16S ribosomal RNA". It matches the Rfam family "Bacterial small subunit ribosomal RNA", at positions 109 to 334 of the family's 1533-position model. The record is from RNAcentral.
UAAAUAGCUUGGGGAAGUCUGGGUUAUGGAGGGGGGAGGUUACGGGAAACGUGUAGCUAAUACCGCGUAGUAUCGAGAGAUUAAAGUGUGGGACCUUCGGGCCACAUGCCAUAGGAUGAGCCCAAGUGGGAUUAGGUAGUUGGUGAGGUAAAGGCUCACCAAGCCGACGAUCUCUAGCUGGUCUGAGAGGAUGACCAGCCACACUGGGACUGAGACACGGCCCAG